GACGAACGUUGGCGGCGUGCUUAAUACAUGCAAGUCAACUGAAGCACCGGUAGUAAUACUGGUGUGGAGGUGGCGCACGGGUGAGUAACACGUAGGUAAUCUGCCUUCAGGCCUGACAUAACCCCGAGAAAUCGGGGCUAAUAGCAGAUGAUGCAGCGGCUUGACAUCAAGACAGUUGUUAAAGCUUCGGCGCCUGAAGAUGAGCCUGCGUCUGAUUAGCUAGUUGGCGGAGUAAUAGCCCACCAAGGCGACGAUCAGUAGCUGGUCUGAGAGGAUGAUCAGCCACACUGGAACUGAGACACGGUCCAGACUCCUACGGGAGGCAGCAGUAAGGAAUAUUGCUCAAUGGGAGAAAUCCUGAAGCAGCAACGCCGCGUGAGGGAUGAAGGGCUUUUGCUCGUAAACCUCUGUAGUGAGGGAAAAAUUUCCAUUCUAUGGAAUAUGAUGGUACCUC
Molecule: ribosomal RNA, 454 nt
Filed under: uncultured bacterium
Lineage: Bacteria
Description: bacterial SSU rRNA
Rfam family: Bacterial small subunit ribosomal RNA
Source: RNAcentral